AAAGCCCCGCAAGGGGUAAGUAGAGUGGCAAACGGGUGAGUAACACGUGGGUGACCUGCCUUCGAGCGGGGGAUAACGUCCCGAAAGGGACGCUAAUACCGCAUAACAUCCUGCCUUUGAAGAGGCGGUGAUCAAAGCUGGGGAUCGCAAGACCUAGCACUCGAAGAGGGGCCCGCGUCCGAUUAGCUAGUUGGUGGGGUAAUGGCCCACCAAGGCAACGAUCGGUAGCCGGCCUGAGAGGGCGGACGGCCACACUGGGACUGAGACACGGCCCAGACUUCUACGGGAGGCAGCAGUGGGGAAUUGUUCGCAAUGGGCGCAAGCCUGACGACGCAACGCCGCGUGGAGGAUGAAGAUCUUCGGGUCGUAAACUCCUUUCGAUCGAGACGAAUGCCUCCGGGGUGAACAAUCCUGGAGGUUGACGGUACCGAGAGAAGAAGCCCCGGCUAACUCCGUGCCAGCAGCCGCGGUAAUACGGGGGGGGCAAGCGUUGUUCGGAAUUACUGGGCGUAAAGGGCUCGUAGGUGGCCAACUAAGUCGGACGUGAAAUCCCUCGGCUUAACCGGGGAACUGCGUCCGAUACUGGUUGGCUUGAGUUUGGGAGAGGGAUGCGGAAUUCCAGGUGUAGCGGUGAAAUGCGUAGAUAUCUGGAGGAACACCGGUGGCGAAGGCGGCAUCCUGGACCAAUACUGACGCUGAGGAGCGAAAGCCAGGGGAGCAAACGGGAUUAGAUACCCCGGUAGUCCUGGCCCUAAACGAUGAAUGCUUGGUGUGGCGGGUAUCGAUCCCUGCCGUG
Molecule: ribosomal RNA, 796 nt
Filed under: uncultured Pseudomonadota bacterium
Lineage: Bacteria; Pseudomonadati; Pseudomonadota
Description: bacterial SSU rRNA
Rfam family: Bacterial small subunit ribosomal RNA
Source: RNAcentral